AGUGGGGAAUAUUGGACAAUGGGGGCAACCCUGAUCCAGCGAUGCCGCGUGAGUGAAGAAGGCCUUCGGGUUGUAAAACUCUUUCACCUGUGACGAUGAUGACGGUAGCAGGAGAAGAAGCACCGGCUAACUCCGUGCCAGCAGCCGCGGUAAGACGGAGGGUGCUAGCGUUGUUCGGAAUGACUGGGCGUAAAGGGCGCGUAGGCGGUUUUGUUAGUCAGGCGUGAAAGCCCCGGGCUUAACCUGGGAACUGCGUUUGAUACUGCAAGACUUGAGAACGGAAGAGGAAAGUGGAAUUCCUAGUGUAGAGGUGAAAUUCGUAGAUAUUAGGAGGAACACCAGAGGCGAAGGCGGCUUUCUGGUCCGUUACUGACGCUGAGGCGCGAAAGCGUGGGGAGCAAA
RNAcentral lists this ribosomal RNA (402 nucleotides) under uncultured Rickettsiales bacterium. RNAcentral describes it as "bacterial SSU rRNA". It matches the Rfam family "Bacterial small subunit ribosomal RNA", at positions 353 to 772 of the family's 1533-position model. Lineage: Bacteria; Pseudomonadati; Pseudomonadota; Alphaproteobacteria; Rickettsiales. The record is from RNAcentral.